UACAGACCUGAAGCAAGAUCUGGGCCCUUCCCAGGACGCUCUGACUGCCCGCUGGCUCCUCCGUGCUCCCCGGCAAGGCCAGCUGGCCUGGGCUCCCAAAAGGAGAGCUUCACACGCUGUGCUCAGGGGUGGAGAUGAUGCGAACAGAACGUGCACCUCAACUGGCAGUUUAGAAACGGAGACAGUGUGAUGCCUAACCUUGUUUUUACUCUAACUCGCUACUUUAAAUUUUGCCCUGUUUGUCUCUUUAGUCACCUAGCCUUGUUUCUCCUGUAAAUAAGACUCUCUCUAGCUGGGAAAGCCGGACAAACUCCAAUUGACCCCUUAAUUUACAAGACACUAAGGGCUCCUUACCCAACCCCCUUCCGCAAGGAGUAGACCUGUGUAAGCAGAUCCUCAGCAUUUCAAAGGAGCCGAUUAACUGAUAAGGUACUGGCACCAACAAUGUCUGAAGUUCCCAGGAUUCUUCUCAAAGAGAUAACAACAUAAAGCCUUGAGUUCGUGUCCGGCAUAGCAUCUAUAUCUAACUAUAAUGAAGGAUUUAGAGCCCUGCACCUGGUACCGUUGCUUUUUGUAACCAUUUGUCUUUUAAAUUGUUUAUCGCUUUGUAACCAUUUGCUUCUUUUGAUUCUUGCAUGUUUUUACUUCUGUAGAAUUAUUGCAUUUGAGUUCCCCUCCCCUUCCUAAACCAAGGUAUACAAGUUAAUCAAGUCCCUUCCUCUGGGCUGAGAGAAUUUUGAGCGUUAACCGUCUCUUUGGCUGCCGGCUUAAAUAAAGGACUCUUAAUUCGUUUCAGUGUGGCGUUUUCUCUAACUUGCCUGGGUACAACAACAGGAAACUGCCCACCGCAGUGCCGUGAUCACACUGGCGAACAACAUGAAGGACCAUUGAACCAAAAUGAAGAAAGAAUUCUCCUGGAGAAACAGUCGCAUGAGGGGCAGACCCUUGAAGGCCGUGCUCCACCUGGCCAGUUACAGAUCGGGAUACCGAGCGCCCAGAGGCUUACCAGGCUCUGUCCCAGGACGCGCUGAGGGUGCUGGCUGCGUGGCCUCACUGGCUGAGCAGGCCCACCACAGCGGCAAGCGAGGCUCAGAGGGCUUGGCAGUGUGAAAGGAAAAUAUCACUAAGCUAAAGGGAAAAGUCAAGCUGGGAACUGCUCAGGGCAAACCUGCCUCCCAUUCUAUUCAAAGUCACCCUUUGCUCACUGAGAUGAAUGCGUCUCUCACUGCCUCCUUUGGAGAGGCUCAUCAGAAACUCAAAAGAAUGCAACCAUCUGUCUCUUACCUACCUAUGACCCGGAAGCCUCCUCCCCACUUGGAGUUGUCCCGCCUCUCCAGACGGAACCACUGUUCAUCUUACAUAUGUUGAUUGAUGUCUCUUGUCUCCCUACAAUGUGUAAAACCGAGCUGUGCUCUGACCACCUCGGAACACGUCGUCAGGACCUCCUGAGGCUGUGUCACGGGCGCGCAUCCUCAACCUUGGCAAAAUAAACCUUCUAAAUUAA
Gorilla gorilla gorilla (western lowland gorilla) is the source of this 1504-nucleotide long non-coding RNA. RefSeq lists it as uncharacterized. Lineage: Eukaryota; Metazoa; Chordata; Mammalia; Primates; Hominidae. The transcript is spliced from 2 exons. The record is from RefSeq and is a predicted model, not a curated record.